CCCCUAGAUGUUCUGGGCCGCACGCGCGCUACACUGAACAGUUCAACAAGUCUUAACCUUGGCCGAUAGGUCUGGGUAAUCUUUGAACGCUGUUCGUGAUUGGGAUAGACCUUUGCAAUUAUGGGUCUUCAACGAGGAAUUCCUAGUAAACGCAAGUCAUCAGCUUGCAUUGAUUACGUCCCUGCCCUUUGUACACACCGCCCGUCGCACCUACCGAUUGAGUGAUCCGGUGAAUUAUUCGGACUGCAACGUCUUCAGUUUCUGGAUGCAGUUGCGGUAAGUUUUGUGAACCUUACCACUUAGAGGAAGGAGAAGUCGUAACA
RNAcentral lists this ribosomal RNA (323 nucleotides) under uncultured eukaryote. RNAcentral describes it as "partial 18S ribosomal RNA". It matches the Rfam family "Eukaryotic small subunit ribosomal RNA", at positions 1470 to 1796 of the family's 1831-position model. The record is from RNAcentral.